This 253-nucleotide ribosomal RNA is filed under the name uncultured bacterium. RNAcentral describes it as "partial 16S ribosomal RNA". It matches the Rfam family "Bacterial small subunit ribosomal RNA", at positions 524 to 776 of the family's 1533-position model. The record is from RNAcentral.
UACGUAGGGUGCGAGCGUUGUCCGGAAUUAUUGGGCGUAAAGGGCUCGUAGGCGGUUUGUCGCGUCGGGAGUGAAAACACCGGGCUUAACUCGGUGCUUGCUUUCGAUACGGGCAGACUAGAGGUAUGCAGGGGAGAAUGGAAUUCCUGGUGUAGCGGUGAAAUGCGCAGAUAUCAGGAGGAACACCGGUGGCGAAGGCGGUUCUCUGGGCAUUACCUGACGCUGAGGAGCGAAAGUGUGGGGAGCAAACAGG